Long non-coding RNA from Ahaetulla prasina, 6393 nucleotides. RefSeq lists it as uncharacterized. The transcript has 3 exons. The record is from RefSeq and is a predicted model, not a curated record. NCBI's taxonomy places the organism in Eukaryota, Metazoa, Chordata, Lepidosauria, Squamata, Colubridae.
UUCGGCGCCGGAUCCCCCGGGAGGAAAAUGGCUUCCUCGGAGAGCAGAGCCGGCUAACACGAGGACACGUUGAGGUCAUCUCGGUGCGCGCCUCUUCUCCAGGGCGGAACCUAAUCGGCAGCGGGGAAUCUAAGGCCCGGCUUUAUUGUUGGUCGGCGUCUUUCUUUGUGGCUGCGUUUUACGAGAUCGCUCCAGGCGAAAUGUUGGAGCAUUUGUCCUGGGUUCCAGUUUGUGUAAUGAAAGUCCUGCUUCAGAGUGAGGUGCUUUACAACUGCUGAUUGUGAACAUGGGAUUCGAGCACAUGAUCUGCAAUCCCUUGUGGAACAUCUGGAUGUCUUCCUGCCUUUUCUCCACCAUGAUCCUGAUAACAGUACAGGUAGUCCUUGACUUACAAACAGUUCAUUUAGUGACCAUUCAAAGUUACAGUGGCACUGAAAAAAGUGACUUAUGAUUGUUUUUCACAUGACCAUUGCAGCAUCCAUAUGGUCACUUGAUCAACAUUCAGAUGCUUGGCAACUGAUUCAUAUUUAUGAUGGCUUCACUGUCCUAGGGUCAUGUGAUCAGCUUUUGCGACCUUUUGAGAGGCAAAAUCAAUGGGAAAUCCAGAUUCACUUAACAACAGUGGCAAGAAAAGUCAUAAAAUGGGGCAAACUCACUUAACAAAUAUUUCACUUGGCAGCAUAAAUUUUGGGCUCAAUUGUGGCUGCAACUCGAGGACUAUCUGUAUACAUGAGGAGAACCAGAAGCUUCCUCCUGAACAACAACCCAAGUCAUGACUGAAAGAGACACUGAAGAGAAAGGAAUGAGAGUUAUGUGUAGAUAUUUAUUAAGUUUCUGGAAAUCUACAGCUGCACCCUCACUUAUGAACAAGUGUGUUAAUACCCCUUGCAGUGGGUAUCCAAGUAACUGGUUAGGACAGUAUGGAUUAAGCCUAGACUAUGUUCUGGUAUUAGGCUGAAUUUCGAGACUUGUUUUACUUUCCCACCACUCUCUGCUUUACUUCCUACAGAUUCCUACUCUUCAAUAGAGAGUUUUUAGUUAAGGCAGGUUAAGUUCUCCUUAGCUGCUUUUAUUUCUUUUGAUUUGUUCAGGAAAAAAAGUUCCCUAAAUGUAAAAAUUAAAUGGGAAGCCUACCUAGUUAUCCACUGUAUGUUCUGGGUAGAAGUUGUGCAGCUGAUCUUGGAUAAAAAGACUUGCUCUGGUUUUUUUCCACAAUGCAAUGUAAAAAAACCUGUUUUGGUAAUGAGAGCUGCAGGUCUUUUCAGGGAACCUUAGAUUCCCCCCCCCCCUUUAUACCUAACUAGGUCACAGUUAUACCUAGACAAUUUUUUAUGAAUUUGUUUUGCCACCUUCUGGAGGUUUCACUAUAUUGUCUAAAUAAUUGAGUUUUAAUAUAAUUGUAUAAUAUAUAAUUGCAUACAAUAUUGUAUACAUUAUUAUACACUUAUACAAUAAUUGUAUAACAUUGUAAAAUUUUAUAUUAAGUCUCCCUUAUUCAGACAGCAUCUGAAUGAUGUCAGCCUCAGGUGUGUAACAUUUGUAAUGUCACCCAUUAUCUUGAAGGAAGUCAAGUGAACAGAAGCAAUAGAGGCAGAAGUGGGAUCAGCAAUCAGCAAAUUUCAUGCCAGUACAACUUUCUGGAUAACAUUUCAACUCGGUACUGGAAAAACAUUUCUUAUUUGUAUAGAAAGGGGCCAUUGAGGCUAACCUCUUGCUCAGUGGGGGAAUUCAAACCAGACAUGUUAAAAUAAUUAGGGAACGAGUCAGAUAUAUUCCUAACCUCUUCAUGUUGCUGCCUCUGAUUUUGCCAGCAUCCCAACCUGAAUUGUGUUCAGAGUUUGAAAGAAAUUCAUAUUUUGCUAUCUAUACUUUGUUCAGCUACCACAGAAGUUGAGUAAAAAACUGACUACCUAGGACAUAAACUGGGUUCUAAAAUGAAAGCAACUGAAUUGCUGCAUUUUCUGUACUCAUAUUCUAUUUCUUUUUAAUGUAUUUUGUUAAAAGCAGCUCUGGGAAAAUCUUGGUUUUGGUUAAAAAUGGUUGCUAAAGCUGCCAUUAAUCUGAGUAGUUGGAUGCCUCCUUUAGAACCUAAACCUAACCUCUUCUAAAGCAAAGCCUUUUGGUUGAUGAGAGCCAAUAAGAAAUUUUGAUUGGGCACAAUGUAAUUGUUAUUCAUGCAAAAGUCAGAAUGCAGAAUAUCCAUUACCACUCUUCGAUUCUCUUUCACAUGUAGUAAUGGCCAAAAUUGUGGAAACCUUUUGGGAAAAGUGUAUUUUUGAGGUUUGAUGGCUAAUAACACCGCUUUUUUGGGUGGAGUUUCAAGAUAAUCAUAGUCCACUUAACCCAAUUGAAAAUCUAUGAAAUCUAUUGAAAAUCUAUGGAGUCGACUAAAGAAACUUGUUAGUCAGAAGCGACCCAGCAAUAAAACCCAGUUAAUAGAAGCAAUCAUUCAAUCUUGGUUUCACAUUAUGACAGCUUCAGAACUAAAAGACUUGGUUCACUCCAUGGGAAGACAUUGUAAGGCUGUAAUUCAUGCUAAAGGUUACCCAAUUAAGUAUUAACUGCCAUGAUAAUUUUUGUAUAUCUCAUUUUUUCUACGGUCAUAAUUUUUGUAUAUCUUUUUUCUAUCUGUUUAACUUUUCUUCUUUAUAUUGUAACUGCUAUUCUAAUAGCAAAUCCUUCAUAAAAGUUCUUGCAUUACAUUCUUGAUAAAUUAUCUUCCCAUUGAUAUAUAAUUUUAUGAUACUACUACAAAAAAAAGUGGUGUUAUUAGCUAGUUUUAGAAAAUACACUUUUCCCAAAAGGUUUCCACAACUUUGGCCACUACUGUAUCAUGAUCCGAAAAAUAUUACUUCCCUGAUUUUUGACUCAAUCCAUAGGUUUUUCUAAAUCUAGUACUGAGAUUUACGUACAGAUUGGCACACAUUUACUAAUCCUCUGCACUAAAAUAAGUGGGUUCACAAUAGUGGGUUGGUUGUAAGUGGUUUGGAUUGGAGGCUGAUAUAUGUUCUAUGUAGGUUGAGUGAAUUCAUGCUGUGUUUUGACUAGUGCUGAAAGCAAUUGAUGUUCUCCUAUUCUGUAAGAACCAAAACGCUUAAAAUAACACAGCAUCCAUUAGUACUCUUUGCUCUGCUUCUGACCUGCAACAACUCUUUUGAAAAGUGAGCAAACCAUUUCUGAUACCAGCACUCAGACAAAAAAAAACUAGGAGUAAUGAACUAUAUAAUCACAAUCUAGUACACAGGACAGCAAAGCCUUUUAAAAGAUUUUAUUUAUUUUUUGGAUUCAGUUUUGGCACUACUCAACUUCAACUGAUUCUAGUUAAACAAUCAGUUCCUAAUUACCUUCUUAGUCAAGAACGUACAACUAGAUGAGAUGCCCCUUUUCUACAUAAUGCCUGUCACACAUGCAUAUCAAAAUCAUCUUUAUAUGCUACUUUCUCUCAGUGCUAAGAUCUUCAUUUCUAUAUACUUGAAAUGCUACAUUUAAAUGUCCAUUGUUCCUCCCUGUCAGUUUAUUAAGUGGAUUUUCCAUAUAUCUGCUUGCUGUACUUCUAGGAAUUUCUUCAGCUUUCUACUACAUGCCACUUGUACCACCAUUCCUAUAUCCAAAAUAUUUAACUGUUUGUGUUUAUUAAUCACCAUUAAGUGUUCUGGUACAAUAGAUAUCCUAAAGUCUGCCAUUAGCAUUUCCAGCAUGUAGUAUCAUUACCAGCUCUUUACAUGUGUAAAAUGUAUGUCUGUGUAAUGACUGUGCAAUCCAGUUCAUGGUUGGAUCCUUUGUUUUGAGUAUAACCCAAUCCAUCUUUGUCUAAUACGAGAAGUACUUAUCAAAUCAAGUACUCAUCUUGAUUUGCCAGUACCAUUUGAAAGAAUCUCGUAUUUCCUUUCACAUUAUCCAGUUCUACAAAGACAGGAAAACAAGUGCAAACAUAUACAUUUUUCAAUAUAAAGUACAGCUGUGAAAAAAAGUAGGAAAAAUGAACAAGUGAAGAGGAAUAUGUAACAAGUAGUACAACUGAAGAAUUACUAACGUUAAACAAAAUAAAACAUUAGACUAUUAUGGAUAUAUUGUGAAAGAAGGAAGGAAAUCUUCUCUACUUGGCGAAACAAUCUCCAUCACUCAGAAUAUUUUUGUUCUAGGCCCCUUAUCAUCUUGGUUACUCUUUUCUGGACAAAGCCCUCUACUGUUAAUUGACAACAAAAGUAUAAUAAAAACACUACAUGCUUAGUGUCUAACAUUGAAUACUGAUUAACUUGUUCUGGAGGGGAGUGUUCAGCUUGCAGCUCUAGAAUCAGGUAUCUCUGAAAUUUCUUUCUGGGGUUUCAAUAGUCCCUCUAAAGGCUCCUCUUUAUGUUCCCUUUGCUUCAGUAUAUAGAAGAUUCAAUAACCAUUUACUGAGAGCACAGAUACAGUAUUGUUCUCAACCUACUCGUUGCCCACUAAUGAUUUUUCAGCUUUUGCUGGCCUAAGCUGUGCUGAGAGGAAGUAAUUCUGAGGUAGGUUUGGGAAUAGGGACUGUCCUACUGCUAUUGACCACCUUAGGCAAAGAUGUGCAUGACCCUUUCUGGUCUCCACCUACUGAUUUUAGAGUAAUUCAAUUUGGGGCAGCAGGAGUGCCAGGAUGUGCUCACUAUGCCAAAAAGCCAUCUCCACAACUCCUCUUGCCAAUUCAGGGAUGUCAGGAAAAAUGGGAAGAAAAUGAGGGGAAGUGCAUCUUUUAGUACCACUUGUAAUUCCCCACCAUCCAGUCAGAGCUGAAGAAGCUUCUUGGAUGAGAAGCAAAACAUCUUCAAAGAAAAACCAGAAAGUCCAGUAGACUCUUGAAAAAACAACUUUGGGACAGCCAUGACCUGAUCACUGACAAUCUCCAUAGACUCUUGUCCUAUUACUAAAAAGACCCAUUGCUUCCCCCACGGUAGCUUUAGUGCAUGGGUGACAGCUGCAGAACCCCAAGGCACUGCUCCUUUCCUCUUGAACUGCAGUGCAGAAGCCUCGGGCAGGCAAUUUAAAAUAGACCCAGCAAUCUUGAACUUGUCAUGAAUACCCUCCUUCAUUUCAUUGUUGCAAUGCCCAAGCUGUGAAUGGGGUAUUUUAGACAUGUGCCCAGCAGUCUUUUGGCAGUUGGGCCAAAUGCACAGGUUAUGCAUUUCAAAUAUGCCUCCUCCCAUUGCUUUGGUAUAUGGUGCCAAAACAAAGUUUUGUAGGUUGUAUCUUAGGGAAAAUGACAUCUUUUAAGAUAUAUCUGCCAACCAAAGAGAGGCAGGUAGCUGUUCUGUGGAGGCUUCUGUUUGCGGGGAAUUUUUUUCUGGUUCCCCCUCACCUGAGGAAGAUAGUUUUGAGCUUGUAGUGUAGGGAAGUGAGUAAGAAAACCUGCUUCUCUUUCUUCUUUUCCUAUUUCAUCUGCCUUCCUUAUCCAGAAAAACAGGAGGGAGGGAAAAGCACAGUUCAUGGGUUCUUUGAAUGGCAUCAUUAAUUGAUCCAUAACUGUAGGAUAAUCCAAUCUUACAAUACAUGCCCUCUGCAUGUCUUUGGAUUAUAACAAUUGUCAGAAUCGGCAAGCAUGAUCAUUAGCCUAAUGGUGACAUAAAUUGUAAUGAAAGUGAAGUAGGUUCUUUUCCUCAGAAGAUUUAGGUUAUAGAUCAUCCUGCCAUAAGGACCCUAUUGAGAGCGCCUAGGAGCUGCCUGGGAUAUUGGGUUCCAUAUAUGCCUAAUACAACAUAAGAAGGGUUUAAUAUGUGAUUUUUUUUAAAUCCAUGAUUCAUUCUAUUUUGAGAUAAAUACAGCCAAAAUAAAAUUAAUAACAAUUAAAAAUACUUUUCUCAAUGUGCAAUUAAAAAUGUGCUUGGUUUUUAGAAACUGAGACAAAUAUGCUUAACUUUGUGGUAAAGUUUUAAAUUAAUUUUCAUUGUAACAGUCAACCCAUUAAAAGUUCCAUUAAACACAGAAAAGGUACAGUAGUUUAGAGAAAAGCAAUUAAAAAUAUUGAUUUAUGCCCAAACUGUGGCAUAAAGAAUGUAGCUUUACUCUAUUAUUAAUGAAUGCUUAGAAUGGAGAAAUGGGAUGAAAUUAAUGUAUAUUGGUUUGAAAUAAUACUCAGACUGAUGCAAAGCACAGGGAAGAAUAUGUAACUGUUUAAGAUGCAUUCCUAUUUUCAGUGUUUUUUUUUUAAUUAACUGAUAUUAUUUUUGUAAUUUUGUUUCUCCUUUUUACGGCAAUUAUAUGUGUAUAUCUUCUUUAUGUAAAUGCCCAAUAAGUAAUACUAUUAGUAUAUCAUAAGAAAUAAACUUUUAAAAUUAAUUGCCUGGAAUUAUUGAAAUGGAAAAUGAAACUAGUCAAAAUCAAGAGUAACAGCAUUUCAGGUACUAGGCAAUAGUUUGCAAUUUAUGCAAA